This 126-nucleotide ribosomal RNA is filed under the name Aliivibrio finisterrensis. Its description in RNAcentral is "partial 23S ribosomal RNA". The stretch from base 1 to 108 matches the Rfam family "Bacterial large subunit ribosomal RNA", at positions 2819 to 2925 of the family's 2925-position model. The record is from RNAcentral. Lineage: Bacteria; Pseudomonadati; Pseudomonadota; Gammaproteobacteria; Vibrionales; Vibrionaceae.
UUACGUAUCCUAAAGGGUUGUUGGAGACUACGACGUAGAUAGGUCAGGUGUGUAAGUGCUGCGAGGCAUUGAGCUAACUGAUACUAAUUGCCCGUGAGGCUUAACCAUACAACACCCAAGGGGUUU